AUUUGCAAUGUCUAAAUACCCGGAGAUUAAAUAAAUCUUUUGAAUAAUCCAUGGUUCAAAGAAGACAAAAAAUUUUCAAAUAUUUUGAAUUUGUUUUGGAUAAAGCAAAAGCAGCAAUGAUAGAUAUAUGCACCACUGCAUGCAUAUUUUAGAUUACUGUAAAGGCUCAGAGCUCUUCCACAAUCCUAUGAUAUGACUCUACUCUUUAGCACCAAAAUGAGACAUUUUAUAACAAGACACAAGGAAAUUUACAAAACCUUCACAAACUCUCAAAAAGAACUAAAAAUAGGCAACAAUUUCAUGUUCAUGGAUGGGAAGACAAAUUUGUUGAGAUGUCAUUUCUUGUCAACUUGAUGUAUAUGGUUGAUACAAAACCACUCAACAUGUCAGUGACUUAACAGAUGUGAUUAAACUGAUUCAAAAGUUCAUACAAAAGGCAAAAACUGAUCCUGUUACAGAAAAGAACUGAGUAUUGACAUUCGACACUUAGUAAAAAGCUAAAGAAUUGAGACAGUUUAAUAGUGAAAGAAUAGACAGAUCAAUGAAUAGAGAAUAGAGAACUCAGAAAUGGGUCUAGCAGACGUGGAGAACUGAUCCUUUAAUAAAAAAGGGAGGUGGGAACAUGGAGCAAAGAGAGAUGAUAGACUUCAGUAAAUCUCCUUGGAAAAAAGAAAGUGAGACACAGACUUCACACCCAUCGAAAGAUUUUAUUGACUCCGACAAUUCAAUGUUUUUGGAAUAUGUAGUCUACUCACACUUAGUGUGAUCGAUGUUAAUCCUACUUUGGAUUUGCUGUGUUCUUAAGUCUAGAUGCUGAAAUCUUUCAUCAGAUCUGGAAAAUCCCUUGCCAUUUAUCCUCGGAUACCCUGUUCUCUCCUUUCCUUCUAGGACUCUAGUCAGGUAGUCUCACUUCAUAGUUAAAGACUCUUAUCCUCCUCUCCAACUCCGUGUGACAACAGAGGCAGAGAUUGAAGUAUGGCCGCUGAAGCCAAGGAGUGCCACAGAGCACAGGCAAUGAAGACCAGAGGCCACGAAGAUGCCAGGAAGAAUUCUCCUUUCCAGUUUCCAGAUGGACCGUAGCUCUGUCGACACUUGACAACUGUGAGAUGAUGCUUCCUUUGUUGUAAGCCACCUGUGUUGUGGUUCUUUGUUAUCACAGCUCUAUGAAACUAAUACAAUCCCCAUGUGAAACAGUCUGUACUGACGAUAUUGUAAGUACAGGCAAUCCUUCAUGGACAUAAGGGAUUCACCUGAGAAAGAAAAAUGAAGGAAAAGGUCGUGUUGAAUUUGUCAGGCAGUCAGCAAUAGCCAGAGUGAUUAUGAUCUGUUAUUUGUACACACUCACUGAUGUUUCACAAACUGUUAUUUGAGAUACUUUUCAUCCAAGACUUAGUAACAAUUUGUUAUACCUGUGCAAACCAAUGCCUGCAUUACUUAGGGACAGCCCCACAGAACGUUAUUACAAUUACCAAGCAAGCUGAUAUUGUGCUGUUCUUUUCAAUUACUAGUUGAAAUAAAAAUUAUUUCCAGCCUGGCUUCAGCAACUAGAGGCUGAAAACUUCAGCCAGCAGAACGAGGAAAGCUCUCACAAAGACAGCAAGAGGCCGUUCUAUAAUUUCCUAAUCUUGGAUUUCUCAAAAAAAAGUUCAGGAAAAAAUGCCCUUGAGGCUGUUGAGGUACAGAUGCUCCUCAAUGUAGGAUGGUGUUGCAACCCUAUAAACCCAUCAUAAAUUGAAAGCAUCAUGUUGAAAUGUAU
Long non-coding RNA from Fukomys damarensis (Damara mole-rat), 1756 nucleotides. RefSeq lists it as uncharacterized. Lineage: Eukaryota; Metazoa; Chordata; Mammalia; Rodentia; Bathyergidae. The record is from RefSeq and is a predicted model, not a curated record. The transcript has 2 exons.